This is an RNA transcript of Phyllopteryx taeniolatus (common seadragon), 6182 nucleotides long. It is a transcript of the gene named lysyl oxidase-like 4, with no coding region annotated. The transcript has 16 exons. The record is from RefSeq and is a predicted model, not a curated record. Lineage: Eukaryota; Metazoa; Chordata; Actinopteri; Syngnathiformes; Syngnathidae.
GAAAGGCAGCAAGGAAGGAGGGAGGGAGCGAGGGGAGUCAAGGAGGAGAUAUAUGGCGAAGGAGGGAUUGAAGUGAGAUUUUUUAGCAGACACACUGCUUCACUCAAGACGUCCACGACUGCACACGCACACACUUUUCUGCUUGACAGACGCCCUCCUCUCCCGUCACAAUGUCCCUCGCCAUCUGCUCCAGCUGCUUGCUGUUCCUCUUCUUGGUGUCCCUCUCUGCUGGCGAGCCGAGGCGCACCGUUUCCGGUCAGCGCAGGGCGGCGCGCGCACCUGCCGCCAAGGUGCGUCUGGCGGGAAACUUUGCGCGGGAGCCUCACGAGGGUCGCGUGGAGGUGCUGCACAACAACACGUGGGGCACCGUGUGCGACGACGAAGUGGACAUCAACCUGGCCAACGUGGUGUGUCGAGAGCUGGGCUUCCAGGGCGGCGUCACGUGGGCGCACAGCGCCAAUUAUGGAGAAGGACAGGGUCCCAUAUGGAUGGACAAUGUUCGAUGCAACGGUUCUGAGAAGUCCCUAAAGGACUGCAAGCACAACGGCUGGGGGGUGAACGACUGCAAACACUCUGAAGACAUGGGGGUGGUGUGCACCGCGGAGCACAGGCGGGAGCAGAGGACCAGCACCCGAGACCACAGCAACGCCAUCAGCUCCAAUGGGAAUCCCUCGCCCCAGUGGCAAGGCCUCGUGGCCACCCGCAGGCACUCUGGAUACGGCUAUUAUGCGAAUGGACAUCCAUACGAAGUCCCCAGGAUCCAGAGGCAGCAACUUUACCAGGGUCACAGUAAGGUCCGAAUCGAGGAGGUGCGCCUGAGGCCCAUCCUCAUGUCGACCAAGAAGAAGAGCUUGGUGACCGAAGGCGUGAUAGAAGUGAAGCACGCGGGCAGAUGGAGGCAGGUCUGCGAUAUGGGCUGGAGUUUGAACAGCAGCAGAGUGGUGUGCGGGAUGCUCGGCUUUCCUGACGCCGCGCAGCCCGUCCUCAAAAUGUACAAGAAAAUAUGGGACACCAAGGUGGCAGAUCCUUCAACAAGGCUGAGCCUCAUGGCCAAGAAGAAGGGCUUUUGGGUCGAGAAGGUCAACUGUCUGGGCACUGAGAACACCUUGUCCGAGUGCCACGGUCAGCUGUCAAUCCCCCGUAGCCCAGCCCCCUGUAAGAACGGGCGGCACGCUGUGGUCAAAUGUGUUCCGGGCCCUCAGUUUUCCAGGAUUUCCUCGGGAAGACCUCAAGCCCCGUACCCAGUUGUGCCGGUGCGUCUGAAGGCCGGGCCCAGGCUUGGCGAGGGUCGCGUGGAGGUACUCCGAGACGGAAAAUGGGGGACGAUCGUGGACCACAUGUGGGAGAGGACCGCGGCCAGCGUGGUGUGCAGAGAGCUGGGCUUCGGUACAGCCAAGGAUGCGCUGCAAGGCGCCUAUAUGGGUCAAGGUACUGGACCCAUCCACAUGAACAGCGUGCAGUGCACGGGGACGGAGCGCUCCAUUCUCGACUGCUUCUUCCAGGAGGUUCAACCGUGGACGUUCAAACACAGCCAAGAUGCUUCAGUGCGCUGUAACAUCCCUAAAACCGGCACCGAGUACACAGUGCGUCUAGCUGGUGGCAGGGUUCCCUCAGAGGGCCGAGUGGAGGUGCUGAUGGAAGUGGGCGGCCGGAAGCGUUGGGGUUCGGUCUGCAGUGAGAACUGGGGUAUCAACGAGGCCAUGGUGGUGUGCAGACAGCUGGGUCUGGGAUUUGCUGCGAGUGCACAUCAGGACACCUGGUACUGGUCCAGCGACCCAAAUGCAGCCGAGUUGAUCCUCAGCGGAACUCACUGCGUCGGCACCGAGUUCUCAAUUCAGCAGUGUCGCCGUAACAACCACAUGCACUGUCCACGAGGGGGGGGACCUAAGGCGGCCGGGGUCACCUGCUCAGAGACGGCUCCCGACCUCGUUCUGGAUGCCCAGUUAGUCCAGGAUACGGCCUACCUGGAAGACCGGCCGCUCCACUUGCUGAGCUGUGCCAAUGAGGAGAACUGUCUGUCCUCCUCCGCCGCCCGGAUGAACUGGCCCUACGGCCACAGACGCCUGCUGCGCUUCUCUUCGCGCAUCAUGAACCUGGGACGCUCCGAUUUUCGACCCAAAGCGACGAGGGAGAGCUGGACGUGGCACCAGUGUCACAGGCAUUACCACAGCAUUGAGGUGUUCACACAUUACGACCUGCUGACACUCAAUGGCACCAGGGUUGCAGAGGGACAUAAGGCCAGUUUCUGUCUGGAGGACACCUUUUGCCCCGACGGUGCUCAAAAGCGCUUUUCCUGUUACAACAUGGGUGAUCAGGGUAUCUCUGUGGGUUGCUGGGAUACAUACCGGCACGAUAUUGACUGUCAGUGGGUUGAUGUGACGGACGUGCGGCCUGGAGAUUACAUCUUUCAGUCCAUCAGGUCUGCGGUCACCAGAGUAAAACACAUCAAGGACUUCAGCUCGUCAUUAUCCUCCAUCUCGCUCGCACAGAUUUACCCAUCCCGCACAUUUUACGCAGCCGUCUGCAGCUUGUCAAUGGCCUCACAUGUGGGAACUCUUGGGUGGAAGUCAACCCCUCGAUGGACAUGGCCGAGUCGGACUUCAUGAACAACGUCAUGCGGUGUCGCUGCAAGUACGACGGCCACAGAGCUUUUAUGUACGGAUGUCAUGCAGGAGACGCAUACAGUGCAGAGACCGAAGACCUAUUCGAGCACCAGAGGCAAAUAACAAACAACUUUGUGUAGAGAAUUCUGACACAAAAGCCUUCUGGACGCUCCUCGAAGUGGGCAGAGGCUGGUGGCUCCAAGGCCCUCGGGAAGCUUAGCACCCACAACAACAAAGAACAGCAAUUUGCUUGGCAGCGGAUCAAAUGUCACACAAAUGAGACUCAACUAGACCGGCCAACGACAACAGCGGCACACGCAGCUUUUGGCGAGCAUUACUCUAGUUAAGUAUGUUAAUACCACAUACUCAUUUAUUUAAAAAAAAAAAAAAAAGGUCAAUGUGGACUACUACGAUGUUUCAAAACAUAAAAACACAUGGAAUAUUAUUGAAUCUCUCGUUAAGACAGUGGAGGAGUACUUGGUAAAGCUUAUACCAAUCUGAUAUUUAUAUAAAAUUGUUGUUCUUUCAGCUGCAAAUCAAUCAGGAGGCAUUGUAGAAACACUUAUUGGAUCAGCUGUUCUUAUGAAAAAGUGCUUUGGAAUUUUAGGUCAAUAUAACAAACCAUGCUGGACUGUCCAACUUAUUUUUUUAUUUUAUUAUUUUACAGUGAAUUAGGUCAUUUCUGAUUUAUUUCCUUGGCUAUUACAAAAACAAUUGUUAUAAUCUCAACCAUGUGACAAGAUUUAGUAAUAGGUUUAUGUAACAAAGCACUUUAUCUUUUUUACAACGGUAUUCUUGGAAUCUUCAAUUAGCUAUCGACCUAUUCAGAAUAUACAGUAUAUGCUUUAUAGUUUUUUAUUUUUAUUUUAAACAUUUAUUACAGUGAAAUAUAAGGUUGGUGUUUUCAUAUGCACAUGUACUAUUUAUACUGAUAUUUAAUUUAUUCAUAGGGUUCACACAACAUAUUCAAUAAGAGGUUUGUUGUCUAGAGUUGUUCUUUUUCCAUUUUUCCUUUCCAUCGUAGCUUGGGGACAUUUUACAAGAUACAGAUGAAUUAUUCUAUUUUCAAUGUGGUUAUUAAAAUGCAACUGUAAGGAUUUUCUCUCCCAGAUUUUUGGAUGGGAGGGAACACCAGUGUGACAACCACAUGUUGGUGGCAGGCAUGCCAGCAGGCUUUGAGAGUAUAUAUAAAUAUAUGUUAAAAAAAAAAAAAAAGAAGCCUUUUAAUUAUGUCUGUUUGGGUUAGUUUUAAGGUUAGGGUUAAGACUAUAUAGUGUGUACUUUUAUGCACACUGGAACCGCUGCCUAUAGAAUUAUAGAAAGACUGCUUUUUUGUAAAUGUCUCAUGCAAGACAACAAGCUGAAAGAUUUGAUUUAGAGGGAGAUGAUUAAGUUUUUAGAAAUAUACUGGCAGAUAUACACUUUUUAUUACCAGAGUAGCCUUUUCGAAGGCAGGCCACAAACUGACACUGAUACUCACCAAUAAGAGAAUAACAUGCUUUCCUGAGAGACAAACAUUGACAUGGUCAACAGGUUUCUUAUUUUUGUGAACAUCUGCCGAGCUAAACCAUCACUAAACUCACUUUCCGUUUUUGCUGAUCUUUUAUUAGGGAUACACUGAAAAAAAAAAAGUUUUAAUUUUACAAUUGUUUUUAAAAAUCCUAGUAAUAUGAGAAAAGACAAUUUUGUGAGGAAAGUUAUUUUUUCAAGAAAAAAAAAAAGUAAAUUGUAAGAAAAUAAAAUUUAUUUCUUGGGAUAAAGGUGAAAUUUUACAAAAGAUACUACAAUGAGAAUCGAACAGUAAUAUUAGUCAAGUUUUUAUAAAACCGUUAUUUUACAAGGAGAAAGUCCUAAUAUUUGAAGAAAAAAAAGAAUAAUUUUACAAGAGUAGUCAUGUCAUUUAAGAGAAUAUAAUCUGUUUCUGUUAAUCUGUUUUACAAAACAAGUCAUAGUUUUUAGAAAAUUCAGUCGUAAGACUAUGAGGGGAAAAAUUUUAUUGAUUUUCCAAGACUAUAGUAACAAUAUUAUGAGAGCAUUUUUCUCGACUAAAGAUGCAAUUUUGCGAGGAAAAAAGAUAAAAAUUGCAACAUUGUGAGAAAAAGUCAAAAUUAUACAAGAAAAAUCAUUACAAAAUUAAGUUUAAAAUUUUUUUAUUUAUAUAAAAAGGUGUAAUAUGAGGCGGCACGGUGAUCGACUGGUGAGAGCAUUUGCCUCACAGUUCUGAGGACCGGGGUUCAAAUCCCGCCCCGCCUGUGUGGAGUUUGCAUGUUCUCCCCGUGCCUGCGUGGGUUUUCUCUGGGCACUCCGGUUUCCUCCCACAUCCCAAAAACGUAUGUUAACUGCAGACGCUAAAUUGCCUGUCGGCAUGAAUGCGAGUGAGAAUUGUUAUUUGUUUAUAUGUGCCCUGUGAUUGGCUGGCAACCGGUUCAGGGUGUACCCCGCCUCCUGCCCGAUGAUAGAUGGGAUUGGCUCCAACACUCCCGCAACCCUUGUGAGGAUAAGCGGCUCAGAAAAUGAAUGGAUGGUGUAAUAUGAGAAAAGUCAUCAUUUUACAGAACAAAAUUUUUUUUUUAAAGAAAAAAGACACUAUUAUGAAAAUAAAAUUGGUUGCUGCUUUCAGAUUGUCAUGUUUAGGUUCAUGACAUGACAUUCACACAUUAAAACUACUGACUUUUUUUCUUGAAAAUACACAACUCAUUUCUUGUAAUGCUUCAAUAUUUUUGUUCGUUUCAGCGUGGCCCUAAUACCAGUUUUUACUCUUAAGCCUUAACAGUCAUUCAACUGCGUUUUAUUUGCAUAAUAGAAUGUUUUUGUUGUGUUUAGCUUAUUGCAUAUUAACCGUGGAACUUGUUCUAAGCAAUAUUUUCACGAGGAAAUUGUAUGACAUAAAAAUCCAUUGUCAAACUACAAAUAGAACAAAGAUAUAAACAAAACACGUAUUCUCAUUCCAAUACUUUUCAUACAAAAUCCUACUAAUUUCUUACAAAAGCUGGCUUUAUUAGGACUCAUACUAUAAACUGAACUAAUUUACUUUUGGUCAAUUUAAUUUUGUAUUAGUUUUCUAAAAUAGCCUUUAAUUUGCUUGCAUUUCAAAAUCAACAGCAUUACACCAAAUAUAAAAAAAAUAGCAGACUUGAAAGGAGUGUUGGCUGUCGCUUUGCGGUUAUGUACAAUUGCCAUGUUUAUAGUCUAUGUGUUAUUUAAAAUUGUAUGCAGUUCCGUAGAGACCGUGGGUUAAUGUUCUCCAUAUUACUCUAUGUGCCCCUCCUAUAAUUGUAGCAUGCCUAUGGCCAGUGAGAGUGUGAGCCACACGGUGCUUCUUUAUAAUCUUAUUCAUCGAAAGCUGAGCUCUCAGGGACUUAGACCUCAUUUAACAUGUGUCCAUGUGGUUGGUUGCUUUUUGCUGUGAUGCACACACACACAAUUCUCCCCAUCUGUACCCUGCCUUUUAUUUCUCUGGUACAAAUGUAUGGAAGUGAUCAUUGCCAUUGUGCUUGAAAAAAAUGGGGGAUUAAUGUGGAAAAACACUGGCUGAGUCAUUUCAAAUCAUGACUGUGAAUCAAUAAAAUUUCAUUGUCA